Molecule: ribosomal RNA, 193 nt
Filed under: uncultured actinomycete GT26
Lineage: Bacteria; Bacillati; Actinomycetota; Actinomycetes; Actinomycetales
Description: partial 16S ribosomal RNA
Source: RNAcentral
UUACCGCGGCUGCUGGCACGUAGUUAGCCGGGACUUCUUCUGGAGAUACCGUCACUCCGCGAGGCUAUUAACCUCGGAAGCUUCGUCUCCCCUGAAAGCGGUUUACAACCCGAAGGCCUUCCUCCCGCACGCGGCGUUGCUGCGUCAGGCUUUCGCCCAUUGCGCAAGAUUCCCCACUGCUGCCUCCCGUAGG